Molecule: ribosomal RNA, 700 nt
Filed under: Klebsiella oxytoca
Lineage: Bacteria; Pseudomonadati; Pseudomonadota; Gammaproteobacteria; Enterobacterales; Enterobacteriaceae
Description: bacterial SSU rRNA
Rfam family: Bacterial small subunit ribosomal RNA
Source: RNAcentral
GGAAUGCGGCAGCUACACAUGCAGUCGAACGGUAGCACAGAGAGCUUGCUCUCGGGUGACGAGUGGCGGACGGGUGAGUAAUGUCUGGGAAACUGCCUGAUGGAGGGGGAUAACUACUGGAAACGGUAGCUAAUACCGCAUAACGUCGCAAGACCAAAGAGGGGGACCUUCGGGCCUCUUGCCAUCAGAUGUGCCCAGAUGGGAUUAGCUAGUAGGUGGGGUAACGGCUCACCUAGGCGACGAUCCCUAGCUGGUCUGAGAGGAUGACCAGCCACACUGGAACUGAGACACGGUCCAGACUCCUACGGGAGGCAGCAGUGGGGAAUAUUGCACAAUGGGCGCAAGCCUGAUGCAGCCAUGCCGCGUGUAUGAAGAAGGCCUUCGGGUUGUAAAGUACUUUCAGCGGGGAGGAAGGUGAUGAGGUUAAUAACCUUGUCGAUUGACGUUACCCGCAGAAGAAGCACCGGCUAACUCCGUGCCAGCAGCCGCGGUAAUACGGAGGGUGCAAGCGUUAAUCGGAAUUACUGGGCGUAAAGCGCACGCAGGCGGUCUGUCAAGUCGGAUGUGAAAUCCCCGGGCUCAACCUGGGAACUGCAUUCGAAACUGGCAGGCUAGAGUCUUGUAGAGGGGGGUAGAAUUCCAGGUGUAGCGGUGAAAUGCGUAGAGAUCUGGAGGAAUACCGGUGGCGAAGGCGGCCCCC